This is a non-coding RNA of Triticum aestivum (bread wheat), 134 nucleotides long. The record is from Rfam. Lineage: Eukaryota; Viridiplantae; Streptophyta; Magnoliopsida; Poales; Poaceae.
CAAAUACUCCCUCCGUCCGGAAAUACUUGUCAUCAAAAUGGAUAAAAGGAAAUGUAUCUAGACGUAUUUUAGUUUUAGAUACAUCUCUUUUUAUUAUUUUGAUGACAAGUAUUUUUGGACAGAGGGAGUAGAAA